GACCACCUACACAGACUCUAAGC
Molecule: non-coding RNA, 23 nt
Filed under: Arabidopsis thaliana (thale cress)
Lineage: Eukaryota; Viridiplantae; Streptophyta; Magnoliopsida; Brassicales; Brassicaceae
Source: RNAcentral